Molecule: long non-coding RNA, 1129 nt
Organism: Populus trichocarpa (black cottonwood)
Lineage: Eukaryota; Viridiplantae; Streptophyta; Magnoliopsida; Malpighiales; Salicaceae
Exons: 2
Source: RefSeq, a predicted model, not a curated record
UGAUAAAUGUCAGAAGUUUAGGGGCCAAGUUGAAAAUAGUCAUUUCCAGAUGCAAACGGCGCCGUUUUGAACCAUUGUUUAUCGCCUCCUACCUCAUUCCAGGGACCGGUUUUGCAGGGAAUGUAUAGCUGCCCACGAUGCCCUCUCGGGAGGCCACGAUAUCAUGGCCAACAAUCCUGACUCUUCUGGAAGACAGGAGCGAACGUGCCCCAUUAUCUGGAGACACGAACGCACAAACAGAGGCCAUUCUUUGGCUUCAUAAAAGCCAGAGAAGGCCACGAACCAGAAAAAAAAAAGAAGGGAGAACGCAGGAAAAAACCAGGGGACGAGCGGGAGAAGCAGGGGGCAGAGCACGAACUGAAACAGAAAAAAAAACACAGGGGACAAGGAGAAAAAUACAGACGAACAGAGAGGAGACUCAGAAAUCCAGAGCAAAAAAAAAAUACACAUAGAGAAGGAGAGAAAGGGAGAGAGAAGGUCAAGGAGAGCAAGAACUAGGGUGCUCUACUUUAUCUCCGUCCCUAGAGUGCAAGCAAAUAAAAAAACAGAGGAGCUGCCGGCGUUGAUCAGUUCAGCCGCUCGUCUCCAGCUUCACCACACCAAGUCAGUAGCAGCCAAAGAAACAGAAGGGAAGUUUGAAACGGGUCCUUUGCUAAGCGUCGCCCAAUCACUCAGGAGGAGCAUCACUGUCGUCUUCAUCGUCUCCAGCAAACCAGUCAGAUGCAACUGGGAGACACAAGGCACACUUGCCUCCAAAACUACAUGGAAGUUGAGUAAAGACAACAUCAAUGCCCUUUACGAUAUCAUGGAUUCAUUGCUCAAAAGUAUUGGCUGAAAUUACUUUUAGGAUCAUCUAGUGCAUGUUGGGAGCUAGCAGCAUGAUUUGGAUUGGACAAAACCAAACCUACAGAAAAAAUCAGCCUUCGUCUACUUUGUUCAGAAUCACCUGGUGCAGCUAUGCCUACCCCCCACCGUAUCUUAAAGGAAAAACAAAACAAGCUGUGAUUAAAAGUCUAAUCUAUUGUAAAAUUCAGUAUGAUGUAAGUGUGUAGAACUGCAGUUUUCGGGAUUGAGUUACAAACCCCAAUUCUCGCUAAUAUCUGGAAAAUGGGGUCUAAAAUUUUCCUUU